Long non-coding RNA from Callithrix jacchus (white-tufted-ear marmoset), 5050 nucleotides. RefSeq lists it as uncharacterized. NCBI's taxonomy places the organism in Eukaryota, Metazoa, Chordata, Mammalia, Primates, Cebidae. The record is from RefSeq and is a predicted model, not a curated record.
AUUCAGAGGAGAGAGGAAUUCUUGCAGGCAGGAAUAUGUGGGAGCUUUAUGGAGGAGGCUGCAUUUGAGAUGAGCCUGGGAGGACAAGUGUGACUUGCUAAGUACAGAGGGAUGGGAAGCAUCUUCCCACUGGGGUGGUGUAUGAAGAAAGUGUGGUGUGAGGCCUCUGUGUGGUGUGUUUGAGGGUGUAUGAGUAGUCCUUUCCCUCACUGCACUGUAGAAAGGUGAGAGAGCCUCUUGAAAAGCUGGGUUAGAGAGGCUGGAGGAAAUUGAAACAGUGGGAAUCAACCUUUGAAAGCUUUGGGUGAGUGAAAUGAAAAAUUAUGAUUUUCUGAAGACCAAUUAGGUGCUGUUUAUGUAGAAUGAAUUACAGUUCUGGAGAUGAGCGGUCGUAAGGAAAAUAAGAAAAGGAUGGCUAAUCUGGGUCUGAAAUGACUGAUCACUGGAGAAAGAUGAAGCUACUGGAAAUGGAACAAAAGACAUUCCGAAGACAUCAUCAAACUGGGUGCCAGAUAAGAAACAGGAAAAAAGAAGACAAUAACAAGAGGCUGUGAUUUGAGGGUGAGAAACAAAAGGGCAGCUCCAGGGAGAAGAGAGAUCUGGAAAUCUACGGGCUUCCUGCAGUGCUUGUGACUUACUGCUCCUGGCCUCAUAGAGUCUUCAGACUAACACAGCUGUCUUUUCAUGGCAGGACGUAUUUGAGAAUCUGUAACAUGCUGAAAUUGUACCUGCAGCAAGCCGUAAAUGACAACCUUGAGACCACAUUAUGGGCAUCACUGGCUAAGAAACAAAAGUUGCUUUGAGUCCUCAGCUCUCAGCGGUGCCGGGUUUCCUUUCCUUCAAGCUUGAGGAUUGGCAAAUCUUCAGCCUGACUCAGAGAGAUACUCUUCCCACAGCUAUUUCCCUUCAAAGCCCAUUCUUAGCAGAGCUUCUGUCAUCCGGAAUUACUCCUCUAAGAGCCAACAUGCUCUCUUUUCAGGUUUUCUUUUGCUUUUUCUCUACAUUGAGUUGACUCUGAAUCGGUGGCUUGAGAAAAAUACCAAAGUUCUUUUUUUGCUUUUGCUGCAACUGGAUUACGAACACUGACUUUCCACAUGAAAAGUGGCGGAGUGUGCAUGAGUCUGUGGGGAGGCUGUGCAGGGCGAGUCGCUGCUGGAGGUAGCAGAAAUGUGUACGUGAAGAGCAUCUGAGGAAGCGGUCUCCCCUUUUUCAGAAAGGGUUCUUUUUGUUGCCCUUCACCUGUCUGGAGGAGCCUGAAGAACCUAGGUCUCCUGGUGACCCCUAGGGAGAUGGGUGGGAGGCGACAGGCCACAUGGUUUGGCACAGAGUAGAAAAGAGGUCUCUGAUCCGUGACUGUCAUACACACCCACCUUUGAGCUUCAGAGUCCUGUGCCUUCGAAGGAAAACAACUUCGGAUUUGGAUGUCAACCGGAAGAGACAGCCAGGGACCCUUACUGUAUCUGCAUUAUUUUCUACUGACCAGUCCGUUUGCUGCUCUGGCCAAAGACAGUUGCAGCAUUUAGUGAGAUGGAUGCCUUAGAAUUUAGACAAUCCUGGUAACGUGAAAGAAAGCUUCUUAAAGUAAUCUGAUGAGACACACACCAAUACUCACAGAAAGUAGAAAGAACUUUUCCCCACCAUGUUUCAAGGUUGUCAUCUGCCAUUUGCUUAACUCUUAGAAAGAUACUCAGAUCUGGCUUGUGUACACGUCAAUCUGCUAUCAUUGCCUAUUUAUGGAAAAACAUUUAGUACAAGAGGAUUAAUAAGUGCUUGUUUUAAUUACAAGUUAAACCAUGCGAAUGUACACAGGAUUAAUAUCCAGAUUCUGAAUAGAAAGAGGAUAAACUAAAAUUAUUCACGUUAAUCCAAGGUUCUAACCCAGAGUUACCACAGCUAACGGAAUGUGUAUGGUAUUCCCGUAUUCCCAGUAAUUCAUCAGUGGGUAGAACCACCAUUAAAUUCACUGAUAGCUUUAGUUUUAAGCUACAAAUUAAAUUAAGUUCAAACUAAUUAGGCAUAGAGCCUUUUUAAAAAAUUCAUAUAUCUUUAUUGCUGAUAACUAAUUUUCUUUCUAAGGCUCGAAAUGAUAAUAUCAUUCAUUUACAAUGAUUUCCCUCCUUUAAAUAAAUGAUUUUCUAAUAUUACCUCAAACAACUUUAAUUUCUUAGCUUUUACACUCUUUUCCAAAUAAAUGCCCGGAAGUCCCCUGCUUCCCUAAACGUUGAGAAACAGCAAUGGAACCCCAGAAAACAUUCUCUUCGGCCAUCACAGGCCUAGCAUCUUACUGCUAAUCUUUCCUAAGAAAAAUAAGCCUUUCCUCUUGAAAGCCUGGGACUUUAAAAAUAACAACUACAAAGUGUUUUCAUGUGGUAAAUGCUCAUCACAAAUUAUUAUUUUUUCCCCGAAUCCUACCGCGUCUCUUCUUGAAGAACGAGAUAAGGGGAGAAGUUUGUACUGUGGUCCACCCAUGUAGGACACAAUCAUUUGCACUAAAUUAACACUUCCUGGGGAGAUUUUACUAAUUUUCUAUUAGAUGACUCAGUUACAAUGACCUUCACUGACAAAACAAACCUCUCAUGGGAAAUACAUCCCUGCUAGGCUGAAGCAGAAAGAAAACCUUAAUUCUGUUUAGAAUCUGGACCCUUUGACCUGUAAACUUUUAAGUUCCUUUCCUGGAGGGUUCUUUAAAGCUGUGGUGGCUGAGAUAGACUCCCAGUGCUAUGCGUGAGCACAAGCAGCUGCAGGUUGACUUUGAGAAGCUGGACUAUGAUUAUGCUACUACGAAGAAACCAAAACCAAAAUUUCCCUAUGGUACAUAAAGGAAGUUUUGUUUGAUAGAGCUCAAUGAUUCAAUCACUCCUGUCCGAAUUAUUCUGUUCUCUGAUGAACGAAGACCUUAUCAAGGAUCUCUUCACAAUUAAAAGCUCACUGAAAAUAAGAGAAGGGCUUAUAAUAUAUAAACACACACAUAUAUAGACUAUACAUACAUAGACACACACACACAAGACACUUAUACAACCUAUAGCCAUUUGUAAACAAAGUUGUGUUUUUGCACUUGUUAUCAGAGGCUGUGGAAUUCUAUACCAAGAGAUGAAAUGGUCUCCAACUGGUAAAAAGUCUAUUUAAUGGGCUUUGUGGAGCAGAGACAAAGAUCAUAUGUGAGAUAGUGUACGAGUAUAAUAAGAAUGCCUUCUGCUUACUUGGUCUGUUGAUAUUAUGGUCUAAUAGUUAUGUCAGCUUAAAUUGUGGAAAUAUCCACUUUCUCCUCUACUCCAGGGGCCUUAAACUGAGCCAGGGUCAAGUCGAGACUCCCUGGGAGGAGCUGUAAGCCCUUGUAGUAAAAAUAACAUGCAAGCCAGUACUCUAAACUAAAAACAAAAAAUAUAUAUAUUAAGCUAACCAACUCAAUUUGCUGAUUUUGUGCUCCAGGUUGCAGAGAUAAUUGUCCCAAUAUCAGGGAAACUAAGGGUUUUCUAGGUAUACUCAUGCAAAGAUGGUGCAGAUCCUUAACAUGGGCUCUCAUAGCUGCUUUUGGAACACCUAACUGAAUAAGGAAAAGACAAUUUAAACAAGACAUCAAAAUUUGAAGUCACAAAAGAAGCAAUCGAUUAGACGCAACCAAAAAUUUAAAUUCCAUUACAAAACCACCACAAUGUCAAAUACAAAAGGCAAACUGGAAACAGACAUUGAAACACGAUAGGGAACAAUUACUAUUUAUGAUAUGCAAAGAGGUAUUAAAACUCUGUGAUAAAACCUCCAAUGGAAGACGGGGCAAGUGAUUUGAGCAGGCAGAGAAAACAAGAAAUAAAAAUACACAACAUAAAUAUGCCAAACUUCACAAAAUUCAAGUCAAUACAAAUGACAUAUUUUUAGUUGAAAAGAUAAAUAUUAAUAUGUAAGUUUGAUCAUUCUUUACUGUGGGUUUGGGGAAACAGACCCUCUCAUAUACUCUUGACAGGUAUGUAAAUUAGUACAAGAGGUUAAAAUAGUAAUUUGAGGAAUAAUCUAAUAUAAUUUAAAAUUUUCAUAACUGAGCUGUUUUGGCUAUUCCAAUUCUAGGAAUGAUUCUAUAGAAACUCUUUGCACAACUGCAUAAAAGAGAAUAUAUAACUUGCAACAGUUGUUUCUAGUGGUACAAAAAUUAGAAUCAAUCCAAAUAUCCAUUAUUGUGCAAUAUAAAAAAUGUAUAUUGGGAUACCAUACUGUCAUUUACAUAAGAUACAGACCUUCAUAUAAUAACAUGAGAAGGACCAAAAAUAAAUUCUAAAAGACGACUUUCAGAGGAGUAAAGAUUCCAUUUUUCCUUAAGAAUAUAUUUUUAUACAUUGUACCUGUUCAUUUUGGAGAAAAUAUCCCCAGCUUCAAAUCAUGUCAUCUGCAGAUAGGUAUAAUAUUAUUUCCUCCUUUUCACUCUUCUGCCUUGUAUUUCUUUUCCUUACCUCAUUGAGCUGUGUAAGACUUUCAGUAUGAUGUUGAAGAGCAUGGUGAGAGAAUAUCCUUGCCCUGUUUCUGCUCUUUAGGGGAAAAUAUUUAGUCUUUUCUCAUGAAGUACAAUAUUAGCUAAAGUUUCAUGCUUUCUGAUAUUUUUGGUGGGUUUUAUUUUCUCUUGUUUUGGGUAGGUGUCCUUUAACAGACAUUCAUUUCUAUUUCCUGUCUGCUACCAGCUUUUUUUUCCUUUUUAAGUUGUAAAUAAAUGUGGAGUUUAAUCAAGGACUGUACUCUGUCAGUAUUUUCAUGUAUUCUUCCAGGGACCCCUGGGGUAUCAAAAUCUGACAAUGCUCAAAUCUCACAGUCAGCCCUGCAGAAUCUCAAACACAAAAAGUCGGAAAGUUGGCCCUCCGGGUCCUGGGUUCUGCAUCCCACAAAUCGUGUAUUUUCCAUGGAGAGCUCUGUAUUUUCCUCUAUCAAUUGAUAUGAUCAUAUGGUUGUCUUCUUUAGAUGGUUAAUACAGUAAAUUACAUUGAUUGAAUUUCUUUCUUUUUCUUUUUUGGUUCCUUUCAGUUUGAUUAAUUUUUUAAAUAUUAAACCAACUUUGCAUUCCUAUGAUAAA